Molecule: long non-coding RNA, 2361 nt
Filed under: Trifolium pratense (red clover)
Lineage: Eukaryota; Viridiplantae; Streptophyta; Magnoliopsida; Fabales; Fabaceae
Description: long non-coding RNA (TPRA_LNC007406)
Source: RNAcentral
AAAAAUAGGAAAACAAUGUAAAAUGGUGGAUUCUUUAACCAGGUAAUAUGCCAUUUCCAAUUGUAUCUUUUGUGGGGAAUCUUUUCAAACAAUUUAAACCAUGCAUUAAAAUAGAAUCAUAAUGAAUGAAACAAAAUAAUGGUAAUCAUACACACACAACUGCAAAUAGUCAGACCCAAGAUUCAACCCUAAACCAUGCAACAGACCUUCAAGAUUCAUGGUUACUAAAUUAAUUACAAUUACUAUUUUUCACAAAUAUAUGUAUUUGAGAUGGCAAAACAAAUCCAAAUAUAGUAGCGCCUCUAGUAGUGUAUUAGUAAAAGAUUCAUUAACUUCAUGGAGUUUGAAAAUACCAAAUAUAGCAGACAUAAAAAUAACAUGAGAUUUGAAAACCCAAGUUCAAAUGCCUAUUUGUAACUUCAAGCAAAAUAUGUGCAAUAUGAAACCUGCAAGUAUUUCACUUGCAGUUAAGCAUCUAAAAAGGGUGAAUGAUUUAAAAUUGGAAGCUUAUAACAAUGUAGGAUAAUCAUUAACAUUGUAUCAAGAUAGAAAGUUCACCCAUGUUACCUGUUAACCACAUAUCAUCACGAAGGUCACAUUCACUUGAUAUAUUUGUUCUUGCUAUUCAUUUCCACGCUCUUAGUUUGUGAAUUACAUCCAACAUUAUUCUAACUUCAACAUAAUAUGUUUUGCAAAGAAUUUUACGACACCACUUUGUCUGCACUUGAGAAACCAAAAUAAGAGAUUAAGGGUAUAUAGCAAAGUAUGAUUUACCAAGAUAAUUGGGAAAACCAUAUACAAAAAUAGACUACACGAUUAAAAGAAAAAUAGAGGAUUUUGAAUAUUAACAUUCUCAAGUAUAAAUGCAACAAAAAGUGAGUUCUAGAUAUGAUUAUGAACCUCUUUAGACUAAUCAACUUUGGGUGUAACUCCAUUGUGAGAUUCUACCUGUGACAACCAAAAAGGAGAAAAUAAGCAUAAAUGAUAGAUAAUUAGAGAUUGGUUUUUGGAAUUGGACUGAAACUGAAUACAUAUUGCAAGGAAGAUUAACUUGACCUUAAACUUUCAACUANNNNNNNNNNNNNNNNNNNNNNNNNNNNNNNNNNNNNNNNNNNNNNNNNNNNNNNNAGAUGCUAUUCUCAAUCCCUUCUAUCCCUUUCUUUCUUUUAGUUGAUAAUUUGAAAUUAUAUUAAAAAGAAGUUGCUAUCAAUAUGGGUAACUUGAGAAGAAACAGGAACCGAUAUUCUCCAAUAAUUCAAACUGAUUUAAAAUUAAAUAGUCCUUGAUCCAAACUAUUCAAAAUAGCAUCUCACAAUUAAAUAAAAGUAUGCUCAUACAAACUGAUCCAACAGAUAAACAAAUAAGCAUUAAAUUUUCUAAUUUGUGAUCAAUAAAAUAUCAAAUCCUUCAGAUUUUGGAGGAUGCAGACCAUCCUCUUCACUAUUUCAUGUAUAAGUAUAACAAUAACAAUAGUUAUUGGUGGAGAAAGAUAACAUUAAAUGAAGGAAUAUUACUCCCAUAUUUGGUAACUACAAAUACCAUGAAUCAUGAAUAUAAUAAAAAAAACUACAAACAUUGCUACUUUCAAAGACAAAAUUCCAGAAAACAAAUCAUGAAAAUAAGGGAGAGAGAAUAUCUACCUCCAAUUUCAUCAAUUUAAGCUAAUACUGAUGUGAUGUCUCUACCAAAAAAAACUAAUAUUGAUGAAUGAUAUACCUUUUUCCUCAAAUUCAUGAGUAGCAGUCUCUAAUUGGACAUAAAAAAAAACUAUGUGAGAAAUGAAGAAGCAACUAAAUACUACUAAAAUCAGAUUAUAAUAUUCACAAAAACUGAAAUGAAACCUAACUCAGAAGGGAAAAAUUGAAAAUUCAAAGUUCAGAAAACUUACCCAAUCAAACCCUAAUUUGUGAACCUGAACAAACAAUAAAACAUUGCAAGAAAAAAAAAAUCAAAAUUAGAAUAUAAAAUCAAAUCAUGAAAUAAGGAAGGGAUUAAGAAGCAAGUUGAAACCUUUCCAUUUGAUGAAGCCACUGGAGGGGGAUGAAAGUGACGGCAGAGAAGGUGUUGGUGGUGGUGAAGAUAUCAGAGAGGAUGGGAGAGAGCUGAUGAGAGAAGAAUUGAAAUCUAUGAGAAAGAAAGUGAGUUAUGAUAUUGAAGAGAGGGAGAAUUUGAAAUUUGAAAUUGAUUCCAACCUAAUUGAAGUUUUUGAAUUCUAGUCUGUAAAUCUGCAAUAUUGAAAGGGACAGCUCAAGGAAGGUCUUCUUCUUGCUUCUCUGUUUUUCUUUUGAACAAAUUUGAUUUCAAAAUUGUUUGCCAAAAGGAGUAGAGAACUUCUGCAACGCGACACAAUGAAAAGGACGG